Molecule: ribosomal RNA, 36 nt
Filed under: Astragalus strictus
Lineage: Eukaryota; Viridiplantae; Streptophyta; Magnoliopsida; Fabales; Fabaceae
Description: partial 26S ribosomal RNA
Source: RNAcentral
GAGACCUCAGGUCAGGCGGGGCUACCCGCUGAAUUU